This 253-nucleotide ribosomal RNA is filed under the name uncultured bacterium. Its description in RNAcentral is "partial 16S ribosomal RNA". It matches the Rfam family "Bacterial small subunit ribosomal RNA", at positions 524 to 776 of the family's 1533-position model. The record is from RNAcentral.
UACAGAGGGUGCAAGCGUUGUUCGGAAUUACUGGGCGUAAAGGGCGCGUAGGCGGAAUGGCAAGUCGGUCGUGAAAUCCUUCGGCUCAACCGAAGAACGUCGAUCGAAACUGCCGUUCUUGAGGAUUGCAGAGGAGACUGGAAUUCCCGGUGUAGCGGUGAAAUGUGUAGAGAUCGGGAGGAACACCGGUGGCGAAGGCGGGUCUCUGGGCAAUUCCUGACGCUGAGGCGCGAAAGCGUGGGGAGCAAACGGG